UUUCCCCAUUUUUUCUAACUCUCUCUCUGCUUCCUAUUCUUCCUCAAGAAAAGUCACCCAUUUGAAUCUUCCAUCAAAAACUCACCAACCAUCCAAACAGAGGGGUCCACAGCUCAACUCACUCAUAAAUUUCUUUAAUUUUCUCUCACUGAAAAAUACCCAAGAUAGCUCUUCCCUCUCAUUCAGUCAUCAACAAGCUUGUUUCUCUGCUCUUCAAUGGCUACUUCAGCUAGACCCCCACCACUCGUUCAUUGCUUCUCACCGUUGGAGGAGAUAAUGAUGAAACAACGGCAGCAGCUCGAACUUGGCAAACUCAGGCAAAAAAACAAGGCUUCUAUGGAGAAACUCCAAGCUCCAACCACGAGCAAACACCAUUGAUAUCCCUUCAGCUUUGGGCAUAUUCAACUAACUGCGAAGAGACCUCGGUUAGAAGACUAAGCUUGUUCGAGUUCAAGGGUGAGCUGUUUGUUUCAAGAUGCCAUGAAGUCUUCCAUGAUCUAGUCCCUUUUCCAGCACUAAGACUUUAGUCACUGUUUUAUUAUUAGGUUUUCUUGUGGGAGUGUUUUCCUUCCCUUUUCGGACAUUGUUAGAGUUUUGGUACUGAUGAUUUUCAGUUCCUAGGGUAUGUUUACUUUCGUAUAAUUUGGGUUGAUAACUAGUUGGUUUCUGAGUUUAUGGGAACUCAACAUUUAUCUUUGAUUUAAACCCGCUUCCGCA
Molecule: long non-coding RNA, 717 nt
Organism: Solanum dulcamara
Lineage: Eukaryota; Viridiplantae; Streptophyta; Magnoliopsida; Solanales; Solanaceae
Exons: 2
Source: RefSeq, a predicted model, not a curated record